This 609-nucleotide long non-coding RNA is filed under the name Piliocolobus tephrosceles (Ugandan red Colobus). RNAcentral describes it as "lncRNA (ENSPTEG00000015723.1)". The record is from RNAcentral. Lineage: Eukaryota; Metazoa; Chordata; Mammalia; Primates; Cercopithecidae.
AUGGACAGAAAAAAACCUAAAGCACCUUUAUCGUCGUAUCUCAUAUUUUGCAAUAGUAAUAGAGAUGCUGUGAAAAAUGUUUUAAUGCAAAACAGUGACAGUCAAACAACUGUUAGAAUAGCAGACAUUCAAAAAGAAUUGAGUAAUAAAUGGAGAAACUUAUCUGAAGAAGAAAGAAAGAAAUAUGAGGACGAAGCUCUUCUUUUAAAAAUGAAGUAUAAUGAGGAGCUACUAGAAUGGGAAAAAUCUGGAAAGAUGUAUACUGGAGAUGUCAGUUUAAAUAUUAGUACUAAAUUUCCAACUUUAAAAUUACAGAAAAUAAUGCAGUUACAUAGUGGUUUUAAAAAAAUUAACAGUGAGGCUAUUAAUAUUCUUCAAAAAGCAACAAUAAUGUUUUUACUCGAGUUGUUUAAUAAAACAAUAGAAUAUAAAAACGAAAACAAUUUAUCUCAAUAUGUGACUUCCCUUGAUAUAAUAUCGAGUAUAAAAAGAGAAGGAAUCAAAUAUAAAUUUCUUGAAGGUUUGUAAAAAAAAAAAAAAAAAUCACUACAUUAACUAAAAUUUUUUAAAACUCUAUAAAAUCGACUUAAUUUUCAUAAUUCAAAAAAA